This 2754-nucleotide ribosomal RNA is filed under the name Escherichia coli. RNAcentral's name for it is "partial 23S ribosomal RNA". It matches the Rfam family "Bacterial large subunit ribosomal RNA". The record is from RNAcentral. Lineage: Bacteria; Pseudomonadati; Pseudomonadota; Gammaproteobacteria; Enterobacterales; Enterobacteriaceae.
CAUAGGUUAAUGAGGCGAACCGGGGGAACUGAAACAUCUAAGUACCCCGAGGAAAAGAAAUCAACCGAGAUUCCCCCAGUAGCGGCGAGCGAACGGGGAGGAGCCCAGAGCCUGAAUCAGUGUGUGUGUUAGUGGAAGCGUCUGGAAAGGCGCGCGAUACAGGGUGACAGCCCCGUACACAAAAAUGCACAUACUGUGAGCUCGAUGAGUAGGGCGGGACACGUGGUAUCCUGUCUGAAUAUGGGGGGACCAUCCUCCAAGGCUAAAUACUCCUGACUGACCGAUAGUGAACCAGUACCGUGAGGGAAAGGCGAAAAGAACCCCGGCGAGGGGAGUGAAAAAGAACCUGAAACCGUGUACGUACAAGCAGUGGGAGCCUCUUAAUGGGGUGACUGCGUACCUUUUGUAUAAUGGGUCAGCGACUUAUAUUCUGUAGCAAGGUUAACCGAAUAGGGGAGCCGAAGGGAAACCGAGUCUUAACUGGGCGUUAAGUUGCAGGGUAUAGACCCGAAACCCGGUGAUCUAGCCAUGGGCAGGUUGAAGGUUGGGUAACACUAACUGGAGGACCGAACCGACUAAUGUUGAAAAAUUAGCGGAUGACUUGUGGCUGGGGGUGAAAGGCCAAUCAAACCGGGAGAUAGCUGGUUCUCCCCGAAAGCUAUUUAGGUAGCGCCUCGUGAAUUCAUCUCCGGGGGUAGAGCACUGUUUCGGCAAGGGGGUCAUCCCGACUUACCAACCCGAUGCAAACUGCGAAUACCGGAGAAUGUUAUCACGGGAGACACACGGCGGGUGCUAACGUCCGUCGUGAAGAGGGAAACAACCCAGACCGCCAGCUAAGGUCCCAAAGUCAUGGUUAAGUGGGAAACGAUGUGGGAAGGCCCAGACAGCCAGGAUGUUGGCUUAGAAGCAGCCAUCAUUUAAAGAAAGCGUAAUAGCUCACUGGUCGAGUCGGCCUGCGCGGAAGAUGUAACGGGGCUAAACCAUGCACCGAAGCUGCGGCAGCGACGCUGAUGCGUUGUUGGGUAGGGGAGCGUUCUGUAAGCCUGUGAAGGUGGCCUGUGAGGGUUGCUGGAGGUAUCAGAAGUGCGAAUGCUGACAUAAGUAACGAUAAAGCGGGUGAAAAGCCCGCUCGCCGGAAGACCAAGGGUUCCUGUCCAACGUUAAUCGGGGCAGGGUGAGUCGACCCCUAAGGCGAGGCCGAAAGGCGUAGUCGAUGGGAAACAGGUUAAUAUUCCUGUACUUGGUGUUACUGCGAAGGGGGGACGGAGAAGGCUAUGUUGGCCGGGCGACGGUUGUCCCGGUUUAAGCGUGUAGGCUGGUUUUCCAGGCAAAUCCGGAAAAUCAAGGCUGAGGCGUGAUGACGAGGCACUACGGUGCUGAAGCGACAAAUGCCCUGCUUCCAGGAAAAGCCUCUAAGCAUCAGGUAACAUCAAAUCGUACCCCAAACCGACACAGGUGGUCAGGUAGAGAAUACCAAGGCGCUUGAGAGAACUCGGGUGAAGGAACUAGGCAAAAUGGUGCCGUAACUUCGGGAGAAGGCACGCUGAUAUGUAGGUGAAGCGACUUGCUCGUGGAGCUGAAAUCAGUCGAAGAUACCAGCUGGCUGCAACUGUUUAUUAAAAACACAGCACUGUGCAAACACGAAAGUGGACGUAUACGGUGUGACGCCUGCCCGGUGCCGGAAGGUUAAUUGAUGGGGUUAGCGGUAACGCGAAGCUCUUGAUCGAAGCCCCGGUAAACGGCGGCCGUAACUAUAACGGUCCUAAGGUAGCGAAAUUCCUUGUCGGGUAAGUUCCGACCUGCACGAAUGGCGUAAUGAUGGCCAGGCUGUCUCCACCCGAGACUCAGUGAAAUUGAACUCGCUGUGAAGAUGCAGUGUACCCGCGGCAAGACGGAAAGACCCCGUGAACCUUUACUAUAGCUUGACACUGAACAUUGAGCCUUGAUGUGUAGGAUAGGUGGGAGGCUUUGAAGUGUGGACGCCAGUCUGCAUGGAGCCGACCUUGAAAUACCACCCUUUAAUGUUUGAUGUUCUAACGUGGGCCCCUUACCGGGGUUGCGGACAGUGUCUGGUGGGUAGUUUGACUGGGGCGGUCUCCUCCUAAAGAGUAACGGAGGAGCACGAAGGUUGGCUAAUCCUGGUCGGACAUCAGGAGGUUAGUGCAAUGGCAUAAGCCAGCUUGACUGCGAGCGUGACGGCGCGAGCAGGUGCGAAAGCAGGUCAUAGUGAUCCGGUGGUUCUGAAUGGAAGGGCCAUCGCUCAACGGAUAAAAGGUACUCCGGGGAUAACAGGCUGAUACCGCCCAAGAGUUCAUAUCGACGGCGGUGUUUGGCACCUCGAUGUCGGCUCAUCACAUCCUGGGGCUGAAGUAGGUCCCAAGGGUAUGGCUGUUCGCCAUUUAAAGUGGUACGCGAGCUGGGUUUAGAACGUCGUGAGACAGUUCGGUCCCUAUCUGCCGUGGGCGCUGGAGAACUGAGGGGGGCUGCUCCUAGUACGAGAGGACCGGAGUGGACGCAUCACUGGUGUUCGGGUUGUCAUGCCAAUGGCACUGCCCGGUAGCUAAAUGCGGAAGAGAUAAGUGCUGAAAGCAUCUAAGCACGAAACUUGCCCCGAGAUGAGUUCUCCCUGAGACUUAGAGUCUCCUGAAGGAACGUUGAAGACGACGACGUUGAUAGGCCGGGUGUGUAAGCGCAGCGAUGCGUUGAGCUAACCGGUACUAAUGAACCGUGAGGCUUAACCUUACAACGCCGAAG